This 2257-nucleotide unclassified non-coding RNA is filed under the name Hevea brasiliensis (rubber tree). The record is from RNAcentral. Lineage: Eukaryota; Viridiplantae; Streptophyta; Magnoliopsida; Malpighiales; Euphorbiaceae.
UUAUCAAAUUGCAACUGGCAAAGUAACCAAAACAAAAAAGCACCAGGGGAUGGAAAAAGUAGCAGACAUGGAUUCCUUAAUGGUUUCGUGAACAUAAUAAAAAAAUUGCCCCUAAUAUUGAACGCAAAAACAUCUUCAAACCUCAAAAAUAGCAGAUGGAAAGUAGUCAAAGGACUAGUUCGACAGGCAAAACCAGUCUCAAUAUAAUGGCAACCAACUCAUUCGACCAGGAAACAGUCCAUUUUCACAUCAGUAACAUCGAGUUGGAGGAUCUCUGCUCUGCAUCCUAGAAUUGAUCCAAUGCUUGGACAUGUACGCCCUAGAUCCCCAUGUACAAAUUCUUUGAUAUAUGUCCCAGCCUGGGUACAUAGAUGCAAAAGAAAAUAUUGAGAGCUCUCAGCAAUUGUUUCUAUUUUCAUCCUAGAAUUGAGAAAUGGGGAAGUGCCUGUUAGACGAUUGUGAACAUAGACUAAUAAACAAGCAAGAAUAACACAACGCUAUGUAAUUGAAAAUGCUCCAACCAAUGUAUAAUCUUUUCACGUUCUAAUGGACUCCGACGGUGAAGCACCCUAAUUGGGGUUUUCUGCAAAAUUUGCAAGUCCUUGAGGGAAGCAAUUGACUGCAAGUCUUGAUCUUCAAGUGGGCGAGAAAUCCACACCAGCGCACAAUAUUGCUUCUGCUUUUCUGCUUCCCCCUCAUGCAUCAGAGUCCAGCCCUCAUUGGCUACCAUUUUAAGAUUUUUAACUGCAACCUGCAUAAAGAACAUGUUUCUUGUUGAAAAUAUAAAGAAAACACAUCCUUGAAUUGAAUUUGGUAAGCAUCUCACCAAUUUAGUAUUUAAGUUAUUUAUCUUAGUCUCUAUUUCUUUCACAAGAGCCUCAGAUGGGACUUGGCGGGCAUUUUGUAUCUCAACCAGGAAAGGCCUGCCUGAACCCAGCAUUCGAACAUCGAUAUCCUCUCUACCAGCAGCAUGAAACUUGUAACUGUCACCAUGACACGCGGGAAGGAUGUUGCCACCUAUUAUCUCCUCGACAGAUGCUUCUCCCAUUCUUUCAUCAUCAAUGAUCCAACGUGUUUGACUCACAUUCCUCGAGAACUUCAGGUAUCUUCCACCAAUGUAUAUAGGUGUCCUGUAGUAAAGAAACACCAAAUGGCAGGGUUCAUUGACCUUAUCCUUGGGGAAGAUGAUGCACUCAGAAGAUUCAUGGUCUUCCAGACCAUUAGUAGAACUCUCACCUAAAGCAUUUCUGUUGGUUGUAGAGAAAUCAAAACAUUCAUUGCUAGCAUCCACUAACUUAUUAUUGACAGAGUCGAAACCAGGAUUAGCAACUGUUUUUCUUCUCUUGCAACCUUCACCUCCUGCCGCUAAAUUUGGAACCAUACUUGAUGGCUUAGUUUGGGCAUAUGUCAAACGGAUACGACAAGAGCUUGGACCAGAUUUUACAUCCAAAACUUUUUCAAGCAGAUUUGCCAUUGCAAACUUCAAGGCUUCCUUUGUAGAAAUGCAUUUAGAAAGUCUUUCUUCGAACCAUAGCUCUGAUCGGUACUUCCUUUUCAUAUACAAAUGAAUAUUAUGUUCAUUUUCCUGGAUAACUGGUGGUAUGGAGACUUCAAGAGAAAAGCUAUCAAGCUGAUUACCCUCUUUCUUUAUCUGUUCAGAAAUUGAUAGAGCUAAGCUAAUAGCACUUCUUUUUUUCACCAGCAUUCCUUUAGCAUCAUAGUAAAUGAACUGCAAGAUACCCAAACAAAUGCUGCAUAUUUCUGGCUCAACUUCUGAAUCAUCAGAUGAAGAAGUAUCUUUCUUGUCUUCGUCGCCUUUCAAGCUGGAUACUGCCAUAUGCUCUUCUGGACAUGAUGGCUCUCCAAGAAUAGCACACAUAACUAACGAUGAGGGAGAAGAGCAAGAAUAAACAUGUCCAUGCAUCCCAAACAGCCGAAAGAUGCAUCUCAUGCAUACCCCAAUGGAUAGCAAGUCCUUUACGACGUGAGAAGGCAAAGAACGAACAGCAUCUUUGAAGAGUUGCAUGUCCUCGCCACCGACGGCCGUGUGGGAGUUAAAGUCCGCAGCUUCACUCUCGCUAGACAUUUGAAAACAGUUCUCCGGCUAAGGCAAUUGGCGACACUGGCUCCUUGGAGCGGAAUGAGCAGUUGAUGUCUGUGGGAGUAGGAGAAGUGGGGGAACUGAUAUUAGUGUGUAUAUGUGCAAAACACAGUUAGCUUUGUACAAAACACUUAAGCACCUAGAUCUUGACCGUGG